GACGAACGCUGGCGGCGUGCUUAACACAUGCAAGUCGAACGGAAAGGCCCUGCUUUUGUGGGGUGCUCGAGUGGCGAACGGGUGAGUAACACGUGAGUAACCUGCCCUUGACUUUGGGAUAACUUCAGGAAACUGGGGCUAAUACCGGAUAGGAGCUCCUGCUGCAUGGUGGGGGUUGGAAAGUUUCGGCGGUUGGGGAUGGACUCGCGGCUUAUCAGCUUGUUGGUGGGGUAGUGGCUUACCAAGGCUUUGACGGGUAGCCGGCCUGGGAGGGUGACCGGCGACAUUGGGACUGAGAUACGGCCCAGACUCCUACGGGAGGCAGCAGUGGGGAGUAUUGCACAAUGGGCGGAAGCCUGAUGCAGCAACGCCGCGUGCGGGAUGACGGCCUUCGGGUGGUAAACCGCUUUCGCCGGUGACGAAGCGUGAGUGACGGUAAUGGGUAAAGAAGCAACGGCUAACUACGUG
This 468-nucleotide ribosomal RNA is filed under the name uncultured bacterium. Its description in RNAcentral is "partial 16S ribosomal RNA". It matches the Rfam family "Bacterial small subunit ribosomal RNA", at positions 28 to 507 of the family's 1533-position model. The record is from RNAcentral.